UACAGAGGGGGCAAGCGUUAUUCGGAAUUAUUGGGCGUAAAGGGCGCGUAGGCGGCUUUGCAAGUGGCGGGUGAAAUCCCUCGGCUUAACCGAGGAACUGCCUGUCAAACUGCAUGGCUUGAGACCGGGAGAGGUGAGUGGAAUUCCCAGUGUAGCGGUGAAAUGCGUAGAUAUUGGGAGGAACACCAGUGGCGAAGGCGGCUCACUGGACCGGUACUGACGCUGAGGCGCGAAAGCGUGGGGAGCAAACAGG
This 253-nucleotide ribosomal RNA is filed under the name uncultured bacterium. RNAcentral's name for it is "partial 16S ribosomal RNA". It matches the Rfam family "Bacterial small subunit ribosomal RNA", at positions 524 to 776 of the family's 1533-position model. The record is from RNAcentral.